GUGAGAAGGAGGAUCAUCUGCUUCUGGAUUGUAGUUUACUACUGGAAACUGAGACCAUGGAAAGCAAAACCAUGGAUAAAAGGACAGAGUUGGGCCUGAUUUCAACUCCUCAUCACAGGUCCAGAAGGAGCCUUUCCUCUGGUAUAUGUAGUCCCUGGAUCUACUUGGAACAUCCAAAGGCCAAGAAAAGAGCGAGCUUUAAGAUGAUCUUGCAUAAAACAAAUCAGAGAGUAAAAAUAGUGAGCCACCAUAUUAAACCAUGAUUGAAAUGAGACCCAUCUCUGGAUUGUUCAGUUAUGUGAGUUAUCAAGCAAACCUG
This is a long non-coding RNA of Canis lupus familiaris (dog), 319 nucleotides long. RefSeq lists it as uncharacterized. The transcript is spliced from 3 exons. Lineage: Eukaryota; Metazoa; Chordata; Mammalia; Carnivora; Canidae. The record is from RefSeq and is a predicted model, not a curated record.